GUCCCCCAAGUGAUCGGCCUCCACGGUGGCGGGGGACGGGCAACGGUCGGAUGGUCCGACCGGCUGACGAUCAU
RNAcentral lists this non-coding RNA (74 nucleotides) under unclassified sequences. The record is from RNAcentral.